GAUGAACGCUGGCGGCGUGCCUAAUACAUGCAAGUCGAGCGAACAGACGAGGAGCUUGCUCCUCUGACGUUAGCGGCGGAAGGGUGAGUAACACGUGGAUACCCUACCUAUAAGACUGGGAUAACUUCGGGAAAUCGUAGCUCAUACCGGAUAAUAUAUUGAACCGCAUGGUUCAAUAGUGCAAGACAGUUUUGCUGUCGCUUUUAGAUUGAUUAGCACCGGAUUAGCUAGUUGGUGAGGUAACGGCUUACCAAGGCAACGAAGCGUAGCCGACCUGAGAGGGUGAUCGGCCACACUGGAACUGAGACACGGUCCAGACUCCUACGGGAGGCAGCAGUAGGGAAUCUUCCACAAUGGGCGAAAGCCUGACGGAGCAACGCCGCGUGAAUGAUGAAGGUCUUCGGAUCGUAAAACUCUGUUAUUAGGGAAGAACAAAUGUUUAAGUAACUAUGCACGUCUUGACGGUACCGUAACAGAAAGCCACGGCUAACUACGUG
RNAcentral lists this ribosomal RNA (497 nucleotides) under uncultured bacterium. RNAcentral's name for it is "partial 16S ribosomal RNA". It matches the Rfam family "Bacterial small subunit ribosomal RNA", at positions 28 to 507 of the family's 1533-position model. The record is from RNAcentral.